GAUGAACGCUGGCGGCGUGCCUAAUACAUGCAAGUCGAGCGAACAGACGAGGAGCUUGCUCCUCUGACGUUAGCGGCGGACGGGUGAGUAACACGUGGAUAACCUACCUAUAAGACUGGGAUAACUUCGGGAAACCGGAGCUAAUACCGGAUAAUAUAUUGAACCGCAUGGUUCAAUAGUGAAAGACGGUUUUGCUGUCACUUAUAGAUGGAUCCGCGCCGCAUUAGCUAGUUGGUAAGGUAACGGCUUACCAAGGCAACGAUGCGUAGCCGACCUGAGAGGGGGAUCGGCCCACACGGGACUGAGACACGGGCCCGAACCCCUCGGGGGGGAGGCGGAGGGGAACCUUCCGAAAGGGGGAAAGCCUGAAGGGAGAAACGCCGGGGAGGUAAUGAAGUGCCCGGAACGGAAAACCCUGUUUUUUGGGAAAAAAAAAUGGGUAAAUAACCUUUCCCCGCUUUGAGGGUACUAAUUAGAAAAGCACGGGCUAACUACGU
This 497-nucleotide ribosomal RNA is filed under the name uncultured bacterium. RNAcentral describes it as "partial 16S ribosomal RNA". It matches the Rfam family "Bacterial small subunit ribosomal RNA", at positions 28 to 506 of the family's 1533-position model. The record is from RNAcentral.